RNAcentral lists this long non-coding RNA (8474 nucleotides) under Rattus norvegicus (Norway rat). RNAcentral's name for it is "myocardial infarction associated transcript (Miat)". The stretch from base 5725 to 6104 matches the Rfam family "Myocardial infarction associated transcript exon 5 conserved region 3". Lineage: Eukaryota; Metazoa; Chordata; Mammalia; Rodentia; Muridae. The record is from RNAcentral.
UUCAUGGGCGCUGCAGUAGAGGCGAAGACGACGCGGGUUGCGCUGGGGGGCCGUAGGGAGGGAGGCUGCGGACCAGUGCGGGGAGGAGUUUGCGAGGGGAGGCGCUUACAGGACUCCCCCAGUUCUGUUAAGAGCUGGGCACAAAGAGCCCUUUGCACUCCAGCCUCAGGAGCGAGGAGCCGAGAGCUGGAGGCCUGUCCCCAUGGCUCAUCUGUCUCAGUGGUACCUUGGGGUGAAGCAGAGACUCUGGCGGUGGAAGCCAAAGGCUUUACCAAGUUGGUUCUGUCCACAACACAGGGAUUGAACCUUCCGAACCUCAAGAGUUCCUGCUAGUUCCCAAGUGGCAGAAGAAUGGAGGGGAUUGGGAAAGGUCAUAGCCACCCUGGGAAGCAGCCUUGCAGAUAAGUAUCCCUUCACCAGCCCGCCUGCAUGGGAGAAAGCUGAUGCAUGGGAGGAAGGGUCAGCUCUGGAAUCCACAAAGGGAGGGUGGAUGGAUGUCCUGUGACUCUGGCUCUUGAAGAUGACAUUUGUAAGCCAGAACAGGCUCCUCACUCUUGCAGACACAUGGGGACCUCCUCAGGGUUCCCUGAGGGACACAUUCCUUUACUCAGCUCCAGGAUCCUGUGACAAGAGGCUCUAAGGGCAGCUGGGAGAUGUCUUCUCACCUUCCCUGGUUCAGGGUUUGGAGGAAGAUGUAGCAUGACUCUAAAAAGAGCAAACCUGAGUCCUGGGGUGGGAUUGAGGGGACUCCCUUCUCUCCUCCACCCUGGUGACUUGCAGUGGUCUGCACGAGCCCUGUGCCGCCCUGUGGCUACCUAUUCUUUGUUGUGAGAGUCACAGGAAAUGAUGGGGACUGAGGGGGGCAGAAGGGCCCUUUUCAUUUCCCAGCCAUGCCUUGAAUGGCCACUAUAAUACCCUCGUGUGAUUGGAGAGAGGCACAGGCUUCCAGCAGCCAUGAUAGUACUAAGCUCAGAGUUCUACAUCCCACCUCUGUCCAAUAGUCCCGCCCCCGUUGCCCUGUAGCUGCUCAGUUUGCUCUGAGUUUUCCUAGGUCACACAAGAGCCCACAAUCCUCUAGGUGACAGAGAAGGAGGAGGCAGAUAGUUCCUGAGCCAAGGCAAAGCUUGGGAAUGGUCGUCUCCUGGGGCGGGGGUGGGGGCAUGGGGGUUGGCUCUUCUGUCUUCCAGAGUCAUCCUGUGGUAUCUGUGUUGGGGAGGAGCUAGGAGCUAGGCCUUCCAUGAUGUUGAUGAUGUAAUGGUGGCAGAGUGAUGAUGCUGGGUGUCCAGGGGUGAACAGCAGAGAGAUGGUCCCACCCUCUGAGAUCUUCGAGUACAAAAACGCGUCACCACAACUCAGCAAGCAGACAGCUCUGCGCAUCUCCAGACCCUGACCUGCCUUGGAGCCUUGGGGAUCCCUUGGAUUCUGACCUCAUGGAACUGGCGAGCAAUCUGAAGAUCCUGUCCUCCCCAGUACCUAAGACGGAGCUCCCUGAAGAAGUAUUCCUGGAAGAUAUACAGCUUAGGAUUCACCCUGCCUUUGAUGGACAGCUCCGGGGGUCGGGGGGAGGCUGCAGUUUAGAGCCCUGGGGCACUGCAGGCCCCCUCCUCAUUCCAGUCUCUGGAGAUGGGGUAGAGCUAGGCUCCCUCCUGGCCACAGGGUGGUGUCUCAAAGGACCAGUGGGGUAGGGCAGGGACUCCACGGGCAUGGAAGAGGGGCUGCUGAGGAGGGGCCCAAUGUCUGUCUUUUGUCUGUUUUUCUUUUCUUUUUCCCUUUCCCUUCCCUUUCCUUUUUUUCUGCCUGUUUGCUGCUUGAGUGAUGAGUCUGUUUGGGUGCUUCCUGGGUGAGGCUUAGCUCUCUGAUGGUUGUGAGGAGAGGCCAGCCAGCCCUGGCCUGGGGGAGCCUGGCUAGUCCCUGUGCUAUCCAGCAUAGGAAGGGACCUUGGAAAGAGAAAAGGGACACUCUAAGAUAAGGAGACCCAGUAGGGAGGUGCCAGGCAGGACCACGGCUCCAGCUCCCUCCAAUCGCUAGAGAGCAGGGUGCGUCUGUGUAAUGUUACAAAGCCUUUGCCCAGGACAUGGGAGUAUUCAGCCAGAGCCCCAAUCCAUGUUGCAUAACUGCCAAGGGACAGAGGCUGGCACUGCUCCCUCCUCAGGGUGCUGUGCCCAGUAUGGCCUCCUGUUCGUUCUUGUCACAGACCCUCCUGGAGGAGAUGGUUUUACCACCAGCAACGGAGUAGUGUGAGGUCUUCCUUGGGGCAGUCUAGAAACAGGAAGCCCUUGACCUGGGUGGGAGCUGGGGCAGUUGGGUAUUUACUCUUCAUUCCGGGCUGUGGUGCUUCAGCCCCAGAGACUCACAGAUAGGGCUUGAGGCUGGCAAAGCAAGGCUGAAGUGCCAGCAGUAGCUUGUGUCUCCGUGGGGCCUUUCUCUGUGUCCAGGGUGAGUGGGCUGUAAGGAUUCGUCCACAAGGGUGGCGGUCUUGUUGCUUCACAACCCAGGCUUAUGACCUCAUGAUGUUCUUUUCUCUCUAUACCUUCAUAGAGGGGCUGGGGAUUCAGCCUGUGCCUCUUGGGAGGACUCUGACAGGUUGGUCUCACAAACAUGAGCAUAGAGGGGCUGGGGAUUCAGCCUGUGCCUCUUGGGAGGACUCUGACAGGUUGGUCUCACAAACAUGAGCAUCCAAUCUCCCCUUCAGAGUCCCCCACGUAGGGAGGAACAGAUGAACGCAAGAUGGGAACAGGGUUGCAGGUGUCUUGGGCACAUGGUGUCUGCAGCCAGUACAGAGCCAGCUCAGGUCUCAGGGCACCCUCUGCAAGUCCCCUCGUCUCUACCAGCUUUGAUUUCCACAUUGUCAGGUGGGCCAUAUGUUCUCCUGGUGGCCUAGGUAGCUCUCAGAGGGCCCUGUGCCUGGCUCUCAGUAGAUGCACCAUACAGUUCUGUUCAGUGGGAGUUUAGGGAGUUUAGGUGAACCUUGCUGACCAGUCUGGGGCAGUGGCUACCUUUGGUCUCUGUUGUAGCUUGCCGUGUUUUCCAGAAGAAGAGGAACCUUGUUUCCCGCUAAAACACGGAGCCCAUCAUGGUUCUUUACUGUAAGCCAUCUUGGGACAGCGGUACCUCAGACAUUUACAGUUUCAUAGUCAGCGGAGAGAAGCUGUGUGCAAGAAGAACUGGACAAUGGGCAGUCGGAAGAGGCCAGAGUGGGAGAGAAACCCCCCCAGCUCUGGAACUAGGGAGAGAUGCUUCCUAGCCAGGCUGAUCCAGUCAGGGCUUUGCAGGGUGAGAAAGGUGUGGCUUGGCUGAGUGCUUUCUGGGAGGACAUCAGAGCAAGAAUGUAAACAGGUCAAAUACAGAGCAGGACUUUUCAGAGCUCUGAAAUGCCAAGGAGCAUCUUGGAUACUCAGGCUGGAACUGAGGGAUGAAACAUUUCCCAUCUUUGCUGGCUACAGAGUUAUUUUCUUACCAAACUUCUGGAAUGCUGGGAGGACACAGGAAGACACAAGAGUGAUAGGUAGAAUCAUUAAGGCAUGCUCAGGGGUCCUGGUAUCACCUGGGAGUAAAGAGAAUCUUGAGGGGUGGGGGGUGGGAGGUCCAAUCUUUGCCUUAGACUCAGGCCAGUUCCUUGAGGAGGGCAGGGUAGGCCAGUGGUGGGAGCAGCCCUGGAGUUGGUGAUGGGAGAGAUGUUUACUUUCAAGCAAAGCAAUUCUGGGUGUGUGGGUUAGCUGUUUUGUGGAAAGAUGCUGGUGUGUGUGUGUGUGUGUGUGUGUGUGUGUGUGUGUGUGUGUGUGUGUGUGUGGUGUAUGCAAGCAUGUGAGAAGAUCCUUCUGGGAAGGGGCCCGGCCACAACCAGGCAGGGGGUUUGCACUGAGGACAAGCAGGGUACUUUUUUUUUUAGAGACCUGAAGUGUUUGUGGGGCUCUGAACCCACAGCCUAGAAAUGGAAGCUCCCGGCUUCCUGCAUGGGUCACUGAGGUUAGGCUUGAUUCCUGGGGGGUUGCUGAUGGGGAAUGGAGGUAGACCCCCUGUCCUGGUUUAGGCCCCAUGCCCAGGAUGGUGGGAACAAGAGGCCUGUGGUGAUGGCGGGGUGGUGAGAGGGAAAGGCUGCAUGGUGUGAUUAACCUACUAACCAACCCAGGGCUCGGCCAGGACGCUGUGGCACGCGACGAGAUGCCUGGCCUUCUGUCAACUGACUAAUCCACUAACCUGGCCCGAGCAUGUCCUACUAACCCCGCAGCAGCCAAACCCUACUAACUCUGCAGGCCAGGGGCCUUCCCAGAGGCUGGGACGUGGAGCAGACAAGACUCAGGAAGGCCCUGCCUGGCGGCUGGGAUCUAUGUGCAGACCCAUCCUGCAGGACAGGGCAUGCUAAGAGACUCACCAACUCUGCCACUUGCUGCUGGCGGAACGGGACCCUUCUACUCCCCCUGGUGCCUGUGGUGAGGUGACAAAGGUGUUACCACAUGGCAGGGACUUCAAAAUGGAAAAAGACCUGCUGAGAGCGGGGUGCAGGGGACUGGGUGGUACCUCCAUUGUCUGAUCUCGGGUGUUCUGCACACAGACCCUUCUACCUGGGGCAGACAUGUGCUUUGAAUCCUUAACGUCUCUUCCCUUUCUCCCUUUCUUGCCAGCUUUCUCUCCCAUAGGCAGCUCUUUUGAUUACUAAUUGUCUAACCCCGGGGCACCCCACUCGCACCCUGCUGCCCCUUAACUAACGGCCCCCCUGCUGCCUUCUUCUCUCUAGUGGCUCCUGUGUGUGUCUGCUGGUGCUGUGCUCUGACCUACUAACCUGGCCCUACUAACUGGUUUCUCUUCUUACUAACCCAGCCCUGCCGAGCUCUGGGCCUCCUGGGGGCUGGUCCCUCCUUUUGGCAAGCAGAUAUCCCCAGGUUGUCCAGGCCAGGUCUGAGGCAGGGGACAGCCGUAUUAGUGAUGCCCAGAGGAGGAGGAGGAGGAGGCUGUCCUGUGGACGUGGGACGCUGGGCUCCGAGCAUGACCUCUCUCCUCUGUGCACAAGUCUGGUUGCCACCAGGAGUGGAUGGGACCAGGGGAUCUUGUGGGAGCCAGUGUGGUGCCUGUGGCUCCAGAAUUGGCAAUUCUGGGCCCUACCUAGCUGGGGCCCUCUGUGAUUUAGAGUAGGGAGAAAGGGGUAGGAAUGUCAUGGGGCUGGCCAUCUUAUACAGGAGUCCAAAGGUGUGUGUCUGGACCCAAAGCCCUACCUGGAAGCUCUAAGUGAGUUUUCCUAAGCAGGAAGCAGGUGGAGGGACAUGUCCCUGAAAGCCCACAAAGCAGAGUCAGCCAUUUCCCAUGUGAAGCCUGAGGAGAGGGCACCUGGAAGUCUGUAAAAGGGCCUUCCUCUCAGCCUGAGAAGAAAUGGCCAAUGACCAGGAAGAAGCUUCUCCACAUAGGUGGUCAGCCAGCCAGACCUCUCCCACUGAGAGGGGUGGAAAUCUCAAACUGGAAGUCUUAUUUGGUACCAUUUUCACACAGGAAGUAGGUGUGAGGAUAUUUUUUCCCUCAGGAAGUGUUUAGAAGCACUGUCCCCACACUUAGCAGACAGGCUGCCAGUUGUCAGGGCGCACAUUUGGGGAAGCGCCUCUACAGGCCCUUAGGGAUUAUGGGAGGGGUAAAUGGGUGCUGGGAAGUGAAUCCUAGAGGCCCACAGGCUGAUGGGAAGUCACCCCAGCUCCUUAUGCUGUUUAUAUCCAUGCCUCUGCCCCAGCCAGCCUCCCCCAGAGCCCGCCAGCUGCUAAGCCAGGGCCACACCUGGGGGUGAUUUCAUGCCUCACCUCCAGUAGGCUCAUGGCCUCUCCGGGCUAACCUCUGGCUCCUUUGCACUAACUCUAGCUCCUCCCCCAGCUAAUCCCUGCCUCUCCCUGGCUGCCCCAAGGGGCUGACCCCUAGCAGCCAGCCCCGCCCAUCCAGGGGGGCUCCAGGCUCCUGGCCUGGCUUUGGCCGGCUUCUUUGAACCACCCUUUCCUCUGAACUAAUGUUGUGCCUUUCUGGUCUGUUCCUUCCGGCAGAAAUGAAUGGCUGUGGAUUUCUCUCUGACUAACAGGUCUCACACCCCUCUCCCUGUUACCACUAACGGCUUGGAUGGCGGCGUGGCUGGUGAGGGAGAGGGGGAGGGAAGUUCUGAGCUUGGUUGCUACGGGGAGGAUGUAGCUAUUGAGAGUAGACACGUGACCGGUCUGGGUCAGAGCUUCCAAAUGUCAAUCAAAGUGGUAACCGGGGCUGAGGUGUGUCUCAGCCCAGAAGAAAGGAUACUGUCUACUGAGCAUCUUGGUGGGACCAGGCGCACAGCCGGCUUCCUGUGGGUGUGGUCACUGGCUCCAUCCAUAACCUUACAUCUGCCGUGGCUGUUAGCUCCCUCCUGUAAACUACAGUGUCGUUCUCAGCAAGUGGUUCUUAGCUCAUACAGGUGCCUGAGACACCUGUCUGGCGGGCCCAAUUUGUUAUUUAUGGACUUGUUGAGUACAAGGUCAUUUCCUGCCUGGAGUCCUUGUGUGGGGGACGACAUCGAGCUCCAGGUAGAAGUAUCCAGAAGGGCUGUACAUUCUCCAACGCUUAAACCCUAGAGUAAAACAGCUUGAUCUUUCCCUCUAAAUCUCUAAGGUAGUGCUUUUACACAGGGUAGGUGUACUGGGGGAAGGGAGGGUGACUGGCAGAGAGUUAGGAACACUUAAGGCAACGGAAAGUCUCCUGGGAGCAGGGACAGGAAGCCAUGAGGCCAGGGAACCCUUGUGGAGCUGGGAGUGACACCAGGUUGUGGUGGGCAAGAGAAGGGUGCUUGUUUCACUGAGUAGUCUGGAGGUCAGAGGCUAGAAUGCUGGAGGCUCAGGGACAGGCGGCUGCCUAGUCAAUGGGUGCUGUGAGAACUGCUUACCCACAGUCUUAAGACUGAUGUAGAGUUGUCACGCAGCUCAAGGAGGGGUCUGAGCCCCCCGAGGAAGUGGAGACAUCCCUUAGAAAGGUGGGUUUAUCCUCCAGGUACGGCUUGAGUGUACUCGCUGCUGCCCUCUGAUGGCCAGUCUGCCUCAUUUCACCAACAAUGCCCAGAGAAAGGCUGCCUAGGGCUCUGCUCCAGAUGCUGAGAAUAGACAGAAGCCUUCUCAAGGAAGGUGUGACAGGGUCUCAGUUAGGGACGGUAGCUGGUCCCUAGUGGCUGCAAUUAUGCAUGGUGGGCCCAGGACACUGAAGGGGGCAGAGAUCAGGAGAGUUAAGAUGAGGUAGGUGGGGAGGCUCAUUGAAGAGGGAUCAUGGCAGCUAAACCUUGACAGGCAGGGAGGGCAUAGCUGGCUACAAGCCACACUCACUUUAGGAUUAGAGAGGAUCCAAGCAAGAGUCUGGGAGAUUCCUGGGGGAAGUGUAUCAAGUGAGAAACUCAGGAUGUCGCAAGUUCCAGGCCUGGUUGACUAUAAACAUGGGCUUCAUCCCUUGGGAUGCAUGCCAGACGCAGCCUUCAAUUGCAAUCUCAGCAUAGAACACCAGAGACAGAUCUCUGGGGUCUGCCUGCCUGCCUAGCAUCAUAUGGUCUCAGAGGGUGGCAGGGCUGGAGUUCUCAGGCUGCCUCACUUGAACCAGCCCAGGUGGGACCGGGAGGGGCUUGCAAGGUGUACUGGCCACGUUAUAGAAAGCACCAGAACUUCCAGUAGCGGGAAAGACACUUUGGUCCAUCUGGAGAGGAGCAGGGUUCAUGGUUCACCACCCUUGAACCACUCUCUCUGAGCUGCCAUCUGCUCUGUACGAUGGGGACCACACUGCUAGGGCUCUUGCCAAGGUGAGCUGAGCUCCUCCGGAUCCCUGGGGAAAGCAAGGGACAGAGGGGACAGCAAGGGACUUAAAACUUAACACAGGCCCUGCGGUGGUGUAUGCCUUCUCCAGAAGAUCUGGAGGUAGGUGGUGUUGACGGUGGUGGUGAUGGUGUGUGUGUGUGUGUGUAUGUACGUGUGUGUGCGCGUGCGCAGAGAUGAGAGAGAGAGAGAGGGACGGUAGAGAAAAGAGAGACUAUAACUCGAGAAAACUGAGCCCCUGAGGCUCAUUCUAAUUGCCUGCAUUUGGGCUGCACCUGUCCCCUAAUUCCACUGAACUUUAGGCUUGUUUUGAGCAGGACCCUGUAGGUGCAGAACUGGCCUCCUGUCUGAAGAGGCCAUAGGCUGUUUGGAGGGAGGAACCACCUUGGAUCCUCCCCGAGGGGUGGGGCUGGAGGCAGUGAGGACUGCCUGGAGGUGUCAGGUUGGGAACUGUGGUCUAGCCACUCUGGGAUCUGUCUAGCAACCCAUUGUUUUAUAAUCAUCUCAGCAAAGGUGUCUGUUCCAUGUUCCCGCCGGGGGAGGCUGAGUGUGGGCCCUGAAAACCUGAUGUAGAUUAAAAGAUGUAGACCUUUCCAUGGGUCCAGCCAUAGUUACGGGGUCUUUUGAUUUUCAUGCUUGUAGCUGCCUCUGUGUAAGAUGCCAUUUUGAUAUUAAAACCGAUGCACAUUG